AUUGAACGCUGGCGGCAUGCCUUACACAUGCAAGUCGAACGGUAACAGGUCUUCGGAUGCUGACGAGUGGCGAACGGGUGAGUAAUACAUCGGAACGUGCCUAGUAGUGGGGGAUAACUACUCGAAAGAGUGGCUAAUACCGCAUGAGAUCUACGGAUGAAAGCAGGGGAUCGCAAGACCUUGUGCUACUAGAGCGGCCGAUGGCGGAUUAGGUAGUUGGUGGGAUAAAAGCUUGCCAAGCCGACGAUCUGUAGCUGGUCUGAGAGGAGGAUCAGCCACACUGGGACUGAGACACGGCCCAGACUCCUACGGGAGGCAGCAGUGGGGAAUUUUGGAUAAUGGGCGCAAGCCUGAUCCAGCAAUGCCGCGUGCAGGAUGAAGGCCUUCGGGUUGUAAACUGCUUUUGUACGGAACGAAAAGCCCCGGGUUAAUACCCUGGGGUCAUGACGGUACCGUAAGAAUAAGCACCGGCUAACUACGUGCCAGCCGCCGCCGUAA
RNAcentral lists this ribosomal RNA (498 nucleotides) under uncultured bacterium. RNAcentral describes it as "partial 16S ribosomal RNA". It matches the Rfam family "Bacterial small subunit ribosomal RNA", at positions 30 to 523 of the family's 1533-position model. The record is from RNAcentral.